This 726-nucleotide long non-coding RNA is filed under the name Homo sapiens (human). RNAcentral's name for it is "non-protein coding lnc-IL2RG-4:2". The record is from RNAcentral. Lineage: Eukaryota; Metazoa; Chordata; Mammalia; Primates; Hominidae.
CCAGGAUGGUCUCGAUCUCCUGACCUCGUGAUCCGCCCGUCUCAGCCUCCCAAAGUGCUGGGAUUACAGGCGUGAGCCACCGCGCCCGGCCUCCACUCCUUUGUUAAUACCAAGGAACAUGAUUGCUGAAAGAGUAUGUUUAGUUUUAUAGGAAACUGCCAAACCGUCUUCCCCAGUGGCUGUACCGUACCAUUUUUGCAUUUCCCCCAGCAACAAGUGAGAGUUGUUCCUGUUGCUCCACAUCCUUGCCAGCAUUUGGUGUAGUCCGCCUCGUUGUGAACCUUGAUGAACUUGCUGUGCAGGGACAGGUUGUGGCGGAUCGAGUUCUGGAGGGGCAGAGAUGGCAGGAAAGGGGCGUGAGGUACUGUAGGGGAGGUCAGUGGCCAGCGGUCAAGUCUAAGAGGAUGCUGGACCCUGAUGAUCUAGGGUUUAGGAUUUGGUGCCACCACCGCAGCAGGGUUCAUUUCGGGGCUUCAUUUCCCAGGUCAUUAAAGUUUAAGAAAAACUUUAAAUAAUUUACAAAAAAAGAGAAAAAGAUAAAAGAUAAAAGGGUGCUGGAACACAGCAGGGGUAUUCCUGGAGACUCAAAGAAAGUUGAAUCCAGGGGGGAAAACUGGUAGAAGUAGGGGUGGGGGUGGGGUGUGAGGGGAGACCACACACAUUUCCCGCUCCCAGACAAGCUGCUCAGCCUCUGCUCCAGACUUCUCUGUACAGCGGGUGGGAGAU